UUGCAAACAACCUGUUCCAGUGGCUUUUAACAGACUAUGAGUGUUCUUCUUGAUGUCAAGCAAUUUUCCAGAAAUUAAGAACAAUGAAUCACGGAACAGCAAGCUUCAACUUUAAGCAAUUGUUUAAGGUUCAAUUAAUAGCUUUGACAGUUUCUUGAGCAACCUAUUACAGUCAAUCUGUUCCAAUGGCUUUUAGCAGAU
RNAcentral lists this long non-coding RNA (201 nucleotides) under Phaseolus vulgaris (common bean). RNAcentral describes it as "long non-coding RNA (PVUL_LNC003629)". Lineage: Eukaryota; Viridiplantae; Streptophyta; Magnoliopsida; Fabales; Fabaceae. The record is from RNAcentral.